RNAcentral lists this ribosomal RNA (442 nucleotides) under uncultured prokaryote. Its description in RNAcentral is "bacterial SSU rRNA". It matches the Rfam family "Bacterial small subunit ribosomal RNA", at positions 338 to 774 of the family's 1533-position model. The record is from RNAcentral.
CCAACGGGGGGCUGCAGUGGGGAAUCAUGGUCAAUGGGCGAAAGCCUGAACCUGCGACGCCGCGUGAGUGAUGAAGGUCGUAAGAUCGUAAAACUCUUUUCAGGGAUCUUAAAGCACAACCGUCAACAACGGCUGUGUGUGACUCUCCCUGGAAGAAGCCCCAGCCAACUACGUGCCAGCAGCUGCGGUAAUACGUAGGGGGCGAGCGUUAUUCGGACUUACUGGGUGUAAAGGGUCUGUAGGCGGCCCUUCACGUCGCGUGUCAAAGUCCAGGGCUCAACGCUGGGUGGGCGCGCGAUACUGACGGGCUUGAGGGCUGGAGAGGUGAGCGGAAUUCCCGGUGUAGUGGUAAAAUACGUAGAGAUCGGGAGGAACACCAGCGGCGCAGGCGGCUCACUGGACAGUUUCUGACGCUAAGAUACGAAAGCGUGGGGAGCAAACA